This 190-nucleotide non-coding RNA is filed under the name Anaerovibrio sp. Lineage: Bacteria; Bacillati; Bacillota; Negativicutes; Selenomonadales; Selenomonadaceae. The record is from RNAcentral.
UUGAAUAGAGUACGGACAGGUGUCUGUUUAUCAGACUUAAUAGAGAAUCCGGUAAAAAGCCGGAGCGGUCCCGCCACUGUAUAGGGGAGCAAGGUACAUUUAUGUCACUGAGUCACGGGCAAUGUGAUUUGGGAAGGCGUACCAAGCUGAGAACCUGAGCCAGGAGAACUGCCUGUUUUAUCAUUUCCGU